RNAcentral lists this ribosomal RNA (371 nucleotides) under uncultured bacterium. RNAcentral's name for it is "bacterial SSU rRNA". It matches the Rfam family "Bacterial small subunit ribosomal RNA", at positions 524 to 898 of the family's 1533-position model. The record is from RNAcentral.
UACGGAGGAUGCGAGCGUUAUCCGGAUUUAUUGGGUUUAAAGGGUGCGUAGGCUGUUAUGUAAGUCAGUGGUAAAAGGUACAGGCUUAACUUGUAUAUGCCAUUGAAACUGUAUAGCUAGGAUAUGGAUGAAGUGUGCGGAAUGUGUGGUGUAGCGGUGAAAUGCAUAGAUAUCACACAGAACACCGAUAGCGAAGGCAGCACACUAAGGCAAUAUUGACGCUGAGGCACGAAAGUGUGGGGAUCAAACAGGAUUAGAUACCCUGGUAGUCCACACUGUAAACGAUGAUAACUAGCUGUUGUCGAUAUAAUGACAGUAGCGAAGCGAAAGCGAUAAGUUAUCCACCUGGGGAGUACGGCCGCAAGGUUGAA